This 468-nucleotide ribosomal RNA is filed under the name uncultured bacterium. Its description in RNAcentral is "partial 16S ribosomal RNA". It matches the Rfam family "Bacterial small subunit ribosomal RNA", at positions 28 to 507 of the family's 1533-position model. The record is from RNAcentral.
GACGAACGCUGGCGGCGUGCUUAACACAUGCAAGUCGAACGGAAAGGCCCUGCUUUUGUUGGUUUCUCGAUUGCCGAAGGGGGGAGUAACACGUGAGUAACCUCCCCUUAUCUUUGGGAUAACUUCUGGAAACUGGGGCUAUAACCGGGUAGAAGCUCUUGCUCCAUGUGGGUGGUUGGAAAGUUUCGGCGGUGGGGGCUGGACUGGCGGCUUAUGAGCUUGUUGGGGGGGUAGUGGCUGACCAAGGCUUUGACGGGUAGCCGGCCUGAGAGGGUGACCGGCCACAAGGGGACUGAGAUACGGACCAGUAGCGUACGGGAGGCAGCAGGGGGGAAUAUUGCAGAACGGCGGGGAGCCUGAUGCAGAAACGCCGCGUGCGGGAUGACGGCCUUCGGGGUGAGAACAAAUGUCGAAUGUGACGAAGAGUGAGUGACGGUAAUGGGUAAAGAAGCACCGGCUAACUACGUG